CGUUGGUGGAACAUCUCCCUCAUCCUGGACUCAACCAAAAAAACCAGCUCCCCCAAAGUCUCAAGCUGUAGGGGAAAUGGCCCUUACGGUGGGAUCGCCUUCCAAAUUCAGCUCAUUAGCAGAAUCAUUAACUGAAGAGGAGGAGCCACAAUUGAUGAAAAUUAUGGAGGUUUCUGCUAAUAAAGGCCAAUCUUCAGCUCAAGCACAAGGAAAAGAGGAAGAGGUCUCCACAGAAAACCCCGCAAUCCCAUAGUCUCUCUCCCUCUAAUUCUCAGCCACAAACCAAGAUCCAAGUUAUUGAGGAGCAGCCUUUGCCAGACCCU
RNAcentral lists this long non-coding RNA (323 nucleotides) under Elaeis guineensis (African oil palm). RNAcentral's name for it is "long non-coding RNA (EGUI_LNC007231)". The record is from RNAcentral. Lineage: Eukaryota; Viridiplantae; Streptophyta; Magnoliopsida; Arecales; Arecaceae.